UGGAUCCGCAGUUACCCCCUGCGACUGGGUUAUCCCUGAAAUCGCCAGUAACCCGUUCCUGCCAGCUUCAACACAGACUGAGGAUGCCAAUUCACUGCAUAUGUCUACUGGACCACUAAGACGUAAACAACAUGUGCCACAUGGUGAAAGACAAUCUAUCUUAGCCCGUCGAAACCGGCAAUUUGAAGCAUCCAUUUCAAGGAACAUGGCUACUGCGACUGAUGAUACCAUCAAUGACGCUGGUGAAGGGGAUGAUUGGACACAACCCCAUAUGACUGCAAAGAUCAACAACAAUGUACAAUGUAGGAGUCA
Molecule: unclassified non-coding RNA, 312 nt
Filed under: Zea mays
Lineage: Eukaryota; Viridiplantae; Streptophyta; Magnoliopsida; Poales; Poaceae
Description: misc RNA Zm00001eb330970
Source: RNAcentral